RNAcentral lists this ribosomal RNA (314 nucleotides) under uncultured bacterium. RNAcentral describes it as "bacterial SSU rRNA". It matches the Rfam family "Bacterial small subunit ribosomal RNA", at positions 28 to 334 of the family's 1533-position model. The record is from RNAcentral.
GACGAACGCUGGCGGCGUGCUUAACACAUGCAAGUCGAACGGGGAAUUUAUUUCGGUAGAAUUCCUAGUGGCGAACGGGUGAGUAACGCGUAGGCAACCUGCCCUUCAGACGGGGACAACAUUCCGAAAGGGAUGCUAAUACCGGAUACGAAGCUUCUGCCGCAUGACGGAAGCUUGAAAGGUGCCCUCAAGCACCGCUGAAGGAUGGGCCUGCGUCCGAUUAGCUGGUUGGUGGGGUAACGGCUCACCAAGGCGACGAUCGGUAGCCGGUCUGAGAGGAUGAACGGCCACAUUGGGACUGAGACACGGCCCAG